RNAcentral lists this ribosomal RNA (208 nucleotides) under uncultured bacterium. Its description in RNAcentral is "partial 16S ribosomal RNA". It matches the Rfam family "Bacterial small subunit ribosomal RNA", at positions 568 to 774 of the family's 1533-position model. The record is from RNAcentral.
CGUCUAGGCGGUUCGGUAAGUCGUUUGUGAAAUCCCUCGGCUCAACCGAGGAUGGUCUUGCGAUACUGCCGGGCUUGGGUGCAGGAGAGGAGAGUGGAACUCACAGAGUAGCGGUGGAAUGCGUAGAUACUGUGAGGUACCCCCGAUGGCGAAGGCAACUCUCUGGCCUGCCACCGACGCUGAAGCGCGAAAGCGUGGGGAGCAAAGG